GAUGAACGCUGGCGGCGUGCCUAAUACAUGCAAGUCGAGCGAACAGACGAGGAGCUUGCUCCUCUGCCGUUAGCGGCGGACGGGUGAGUAACACGUGGAUAACCUACCUCUAAGACUGGGAUAACUUCGGGAAACCGGAGCUAAUACCGGCUCAUAUAUUGAACCGCAUGGUUCAAUAGUGAAUGACGGUUUUGCUGUCACUUAUAGAUGGAUCCGCGCCGCAUUAGCUAGUUGGUAAGGUAACGGCUUACCAAGGCAACGAUGCGUAGCCGACCUGAGAGGGUGAUCGGCCACACUGGAACUGAGACACGGUCCAGACUCCUACGGGAGGCAGCAGUAGGGAAUCUUCCGCAAUGGGCGAAAGCCUGACGGAGCAACGCCGCGUGAGUGAUGAAGGUCUUCGGAUCGUAAAACUCUGUUAUUAGGGAAGAACAAAUGUGUAAGUAACUAUGCACGUCUUGACGGUACCUAAUCAGAAAGCCACGGCUAACUACGUG
RNAcentral lists this ribosomal RNA (497 nucleotides) under uncultured bacterium. RNAcentral's name for it is "partial 16S ribosomal RNA". It matches the Rfam family "Bacterial small subunit ribosomal RNA", at positions 28 to 507 of the family's 1533-position model. The record is from RNAcentral.